GGGCGUAGACGGUGUGGCAAGUCUGAUGUGAAAGGCAUGGGCUCAACCUGUGGACUGCAUUGGAAACUGUCAUACUUGAGUGCCGGAGGGGUAAGCGGAAUUCCUAGUGUAGCGGUGAAAUGCGUAGAUAUUAGGAGGAACACCAGUGGCGAAGGCGACUUUCUGGACUGUAACUGACACUGAGGCUCGAAAGCCAGGGUAGUGAACG
RNAcentral lists this ribosomal RNA (208 nucleotides) under uncultured bacterium. RNAcentral's name for it is "partial 16S ribosomal RNA". It matches the Rfam family "Bacterial small subunit ribosomal RNA", at positions 567 to 774 of the family's 1533-position model. The record is from RNAcentral.